This 468-nucleotide ribosomal RNA is filed under the name uncultured bacterium. Its description in RNAcentral is "partial 16S ribosomal RNA". It matches the Rfam family "Bacterial small subunit ribosomal RNA", at positions 28 to 507 of the family's 1533-position model. The record is from RNAcentral.
GACGAACGCUGGCGGCGUGCUUAACACAUGCAAGUCGAACGGAAAGGCCCUGCUUUUGUGGGGUGCUCGAGUGGCGAACGGGUGAGUAACACGUGAGUAACCUGCCCUUGACUUUGGGAUAACUUCAGGAAACUGGGGCUAAUACCGGAUAGGAGCUCCUGCUGCAUGGUGGGGGUUGGAAAGUUUCGGCGGUUGGGGAUGGACUCGCGGCUUAUCAGCUUGUUGGUGGGGUAGUGGCUUACCAAGGCUUUGACGGGUAGCCGGCCUGAGAGGGUGACCGGCCACAUUGGGACUGAGAUACGGCCCAGACUCCUACGGGGGGCAGCAGUGGGAAAUAUUGCACAAUCGGCGGAAGCCUGGUGCAACAACGCCGCGUGCGGGAUGACGGCCUACGGGUUGUAAACCGCUUUCGCCUGUGACGACGCGUGGGUGACGGUAAUCGGUAAAGAAGCACCGGCUAACUACGUG